GUGGGCUUAGCUCUUCACGGGGCGGUCCAACUAAUAUCCCAUCGCGGUGCUCUUCAUUGAGUGUCGAGGUGGGCCGGUACGUUUACUUUGAACAAAUUAGAGUGCUUAAAGCAGGCUAUCUUCGCCUGAAUACUGUGUGCAUGGAAUAAUGGAAUAGGACCUCGGUUCUAUUUUGUUGGUUUUCGGAACCCCGAGGUAAUGAUUAAUAGGGACAGAUGGGGGCAUUCGUAUUGCGACGUUAGAGGUGAAAUUCUUGGAUCGUCGCAAGACGGACAGAAGCGAAAGCAUUUGCCAAAAAUGUUUUCAUUAAUCAAGAACGAAAGUUAGAGGUUCGAAGGCGAUCAGAUACCGCCCUAGUUCUAACCAUAAACGAUGCCAGCUAGCGAUCCGCCGAAGUUCCUCCGAUGACUCGGCGGGCAGCUUCCGGGAAACCAAAGCUUUUGGGUUCCGGGGGAAGUAUGGUUGCAAAGCUGAAACUUAAAGGAAUUGACGGAAGGGCACCACCAGGAGUGGAGCCUGCGGCUUAAUUUGACUCAACACGGGAAACCUCACCAGGCCCGGACACCGGAAGGAUUGACAGAUUGAUAGCUCUUUCUUGAUUCGGUGGGUGGUGGUGCAUGGCCNGUNCUUAGUUGGU
This 637-nucleotide ribosomal RNA is filed under the name Hedycryptus rufopetiolatus. RNAcentral describes it as "SSU rRNA". It matches the Rfam family "Eukaryotic small subunit ribosomal RNA", at positions 670 to 1302 of the family's 1831-position model. Lineage: Eukaryota; Metazoa; Arthropoda; Insecta; Hymenoptera; Ichneumonidae. The record is from RNAcentral.